AUGACUCAGCAAUUGAUCACUCAGCUCAUGGGCAGAUAAAGAACAUGGCUAGCUGUGGGAAUUAAUGUGAAUUAUAGGACACACUGAUCAUCAACACUUCAAACACACCUGCAGCCCUAAGUAUUUUUUAGAGCUAUGCCAAAACAAAACAAA
Molecule: non-coding RNA, 153 nt
Organism: Canis lupus familiaris (dog)
Lineage: Eukaryota; Metazoa; Chordata; Mammalia; Carnivora; Canidae
Source: Rfam